This 277-nucleotide long non-coding RNA is filed under the name Solanum tuberosum (potato). Its description in RNAcentral is "long non-coding RNA (STUB_LNC011247)". The record is from RNAcentral. Lineage: Eukaryota; Viridiplantae; Streptophyta; Magnoliopsida; Solanales; Solanaceae.
CACCAAACAAGAGGAAAAGUUUAGGAGGCUUAAUGUGUAGUCAUGCACAUUUAAAUAUUCAACAAUCCAACGACCUUUAACUCAACUAGUGAAAUCUAAACAUUUUCAAAUGAAGUUACAAAGAAGUAAAACAAAGAAUGAUUAUAAAGAUUUACUACCAAUGAAUUAACACAAAGCCAAUGGACUAUGAAAAUUCCAAGUGAUUAGCCAAACUUUCAACAAAGAAGAAAGCUCACUUAUUAAAUCUCAUGAAGCAAUAUGCAGUGAAAUACUUAAA